This 95-nucleotide microRNA precursor is filed under the name Vigna radiata var. radiata (mung bean). Its description in RNAcentral is "pre miRNA mir-166". It matches the Rfam family "mir-166 microRNA precursor family". From Rfam's summary of the family: This family represents the plant microRNA (miRNA) precursor mir-166. Animal miRNAs are transcribed as ~70nt precursors and subsequently processed by the Dicer enzyme to give a ~22nt product. The record is from Rfam by way of RNAcentral. Lineage: Eukaryota; Viridiplantae; Streptophyta; Magnoliopsida; Fabales; Fabaceae.
AUUGAGGGGAAUGUUGGCUGGCUCGAGGCUUUUCACAAGGAGGUUCUCACUGGCAAGAACUACAAGGCUUCGGACCAGGCUUCAUUCCCCUCAAA